This 253-nucleotide ribosomal RNA is filed under the name uncultured bacterium. RNAcentral describes it as "partial 16S ribosomal RNA". It matches the Rfam family "Bacterial small subunit ribosomal RNA", at positions 524 to 776 of the family's 1533-position model. The record is from RNAcentral.
UACGUAGGGCGCAAGCGUUGUCCGGAAUUAUUGGGCGUAAAGAGCUCGUAGGCGGCCAGUUGCGUCUGCUGUGAAAUCCCGGGGCUCAACCCCGGGCGUGCAGUGGAUACGGGCUGGCUAGAGGCAGGCAGGGGAGAACGGAAUUCCCGGUGUAGCGGUGAAAUGCGCAGAUAUCAGGAGGAACACCGGUGGCGAAGGCGGCACUCUGGGCCGGUACUGACGCUGAGGAGCGAAAGCGUGGGGAGCGAACAGG